UCCAUGUGACAACGAGUGUCACAACUGGAGCCAGUUGUAGGGUUACUGGGGAGUCCCAUGUAGGAGCCAGGUCAAUAUCGCCCUAAAAGUAAAGUAAUAGAGCUCCCUUUAAAAAUCCAUGUGACAAUGAGUGUCAUAAUUGGAGCCAGUUGUAGGGUUACUGGGGAGUCCUACGUAGGUUCCAGGACAGGGCUCCGGCUGCUGGAGCAGGCUAGAUGCGCGAAGUUUGACUACACUUACCCUAAGCUGCGGCCCUGGGAAGGUGUUGGGCUGUGGGAAGCUGCGGGCCACCAGGAGGCUGAGCGGUCUGGUUCUCAGACUCUUGGGCAGUCAGGCACCGCUGGGAUGCUGUGUAAGAGCUGAGAACAGAGUGGGGACCCUCAGGGCUGGACCUAGCCUGAGGCCAAGGGGAAAGAUGGGGACCUCCGGCUGGUCCCGCAGGGUGCUGGAGUUGCCAAUAAUGAACUGCCAACGUGAUGCUGAGAACCAGACUCAAGCCUUCUGCAAGAGCAGUAUGAGCUUGGACCCACUGAGACAUCCAUCUCGCCACCCUGCUUUGGUCUCUUAAUGAUGCCGAGCUGCCCUUGCCUUCCCAGAACAAAUGCAAGCUCCCUAUGGGCUCUACA
Non-coding RNA from Rattus norvegicus (Norway rat), 626 nucleotides. Lineage: Eukaryota; Metazoa; Chordata; Mammalia; Rodentia; Muridae. The record is from RefSeq and is a predicted model, not a curated record.